This is a long non-coding RNA of Taeniopygia guttata (zebra finch), 1379 nucleotides long. RefSeq lists it as uncharacterized. The record is from RefSeq and is a predicted model, not a curated record. NCBI's taxonomy places the organism in Eukaryota, Metazoa, Chordata, Aves, Passeriformes, Estrildidae.
CCCGCCCCGCCGGGCACGGCCUGCGCCGCGGCCAGCGGGACCGGCCGGUCCCUCGCAAGCCCUGGGUCUUUCAGAAAUGUGUCAAAAUAUGCACCCAAGCUUUGAAAGACUCGCCGCUGGUAAAUACUGCUGAAAAUGUGAAGCCUACAGAUGCAGCAACAAGUAGAGUUGUUUGGAAAAGGAGCAAGUAAAGCGUUCCUAAAACUGCAAGACAUCUGGAGGAAUGCCUAGACAGGAACUGGACUGAGGUGGUAUUGUGGGAAGAAAUGGAAAUAAGACUGUGAAAAUGGAUUGAAGAAAUGGAGGAGCAAUAUUUGGGGAAAGGAGAAGAUAAGAAGUACAAGAUUCCAUUUGAUGCUUUUUUCCUACAGAAAGCAGUAAAAACCCUAUAAGCAAUCUCUUUUCACUCUCCAGUCUAUUGUUGAUACCAAAAUGACUCACAGGACUCAGGAUGUUUAAAGUGUACACACAAGAAACUGGAUGAAAAGCCACUUGUCAGAUAAGCUUGUUGCUUGUUAAUAUAGUUAUCUGCUGUCAGUCAGUUGUGGUUAGAGUCACAGCAGGGCCUGGUAUUACAGCAAGUCUAAAUGCAAGCACUUUUAGCAAAAAAAUUAGUUCAGAGAAUUAAUUGCAGAAUUUUGAAUCAGCUCUGCUUGGCAAAGAUCUCUCACAGUCUCCUUAAAGACAGAAGUGGUCUGCAAAUGCAUCAGAACAGAAGCUACUGCUUUUGCCCUGUUGAUAAUACCUCACUGGUAUUAUCGUUAUCUGCACCAUCUGACACUGUGCAUUUUUCUCACUCAGAUUAGGAAAGACUCACGGAACUGAACCAGAGAAGGAGGGCAAUAUGAUGGGGGGAUAAUGAUGCAUAGCAAGAUUUGUUCUUUCAUGUCCCAAGUUAGAAACCUAAUGUGCUGUCCUGUGAUACAUCCAAUCUGCCUCUGACCAUCUAAGAACAUGCCUUACUCACUGCUGUGACUGCUUGUCAAGUUUCAUGCUCCAUGAGAUUAUGGGGUGAGAGUGAGUUACGUCGCUCCCAGCCAGGAGUGUUCACUCCAAGAUGACUCAUUUGCAGACACAUCACGGUUUUGAUGUGCGUGGCACACAGUUGCAGUAACAUUUUUAUGCACCUGUAUUGUGUAAUAUUCAGCUGCCCCCUUUUCUUGUAGGUCCUCCCCAAAAUGUGGUUCUGGCUGGCAAGAUUUUGUUUCAUAAAUGAUGGGAAGAGUGCAGGUUACAGGCAAGGUACAGCUUGGUUUAGGAUGAUGAUGUGAGAUUUGUACACUUGGAUACUCUCCAGGGACAUCAUUGUUACCUUGGUUACAUACUUCCCAUUUUCACAUUUAAUGAAUGAAAAUAUAAUCCAAUAAUAGCAAAGUUCA